CCUACGGGAGGCAGCAGUAGGGAAUCUUUCUCAAUGGGCGAAAGCCUGAUGGAGCAACGCCGCGUGCAGGAUGAAGGCCUUCGGGUUGUAAACUGCUUUUAUAAGCGAGAAAUAUGAUGGUAACUUAUGAAUAAGGAUCGGCUAACUACGUGCCAGCAGCCGCGGUCAUACGUAGGAUCCGAGCAUUAUCCGGAGUGACUGGGUGUAAAGAGUUGCGUAGGUGGCAUAAUAAGUAGCUAGUGAAAUCUGGUGGCUCAACCAUUCAGACUAUUAGCUAAACUGUUAAGCUCGAGACCGUUAGGGGUAACUGGAAUUUCUAGUGUAGGAGUGAAAUCCGUAGAUAUUAGAAGGAACACCAAUAGCGUAGGCAGGUUGCUGGGACGGUUCUGACACUAAGGCACGAAAGCGUAGGGAGCAAACGGGAUUAGAUACCCCUGUAGUC
This 442-nucleotide ribosomal RNA is filed under the name uncultured bacterium. RNAcentral describes it as "partial 16S ribosomal RNA". It matches the Rfam family "Bacterial small subunit ribosomal RNA", at positions 338 to 795 of the family's 1533-position model. The record is from RNAcentral.